CCACUGUGGAAUUACUAUUGCAAUGCGAACCAAACUCCGCAGUGUACAACCACCUAAAGAGGACGCUGGAUCUUGUCGGAGAGAUGAGCCGAGCGGCAUUGGAGAAUGCGCGUGCCACGGUGACUGAGGCGAGCACACAGGCCACAGGCCGUGGUGGGGGAGGUCGUGGGUCUAGAGGGCGUGGACGCAGUGGAGGUCGUGCAUACAGUGGAGGUCGUGGAGGUGGUCACGAGGAUGACGAUGUCUUGGAUGAUGAGGCGUUGGAGGGCGACUGGGGCAUGUACAUGGAUGGUGUCGGGUCAUCGUGAUGCACGUCUGACGCUGUUGCCCAGCCAUCCCACCCCCCUGGCAAUGAGAAUAGUGCAGAACACACAUCCUGUGCCCAAGCUGGCCCUCGGUCCCCACCACCCAUUCAGCUGUCUCCCCCAUUGUUUGCCGACUCUGCCCACGACGGUGGCUGUAUAUUUGUACCCACCCCUGGCCGAUCGACACCACCUCUAGUUCAAGCUGAGCCCACCCAGGACCCUUCACUUCCUAACCCUGACGAACCGGCUGCACAGAUCGAACAGAUACAGGGUGAGAAUAUAGUGCCGGUACAUGGGUUGCGAAGAUCACUCCGCACUGACAUACAUCCCCCUGGUUGUGGGACCGGUGACGGUAAGACGAGACCGGCGAAGGCAGUUGUGAGGAAACGAAAAGAUCGUUGAGCCGUUGAUGAUGUGGAGCUUAUGGGGUAGUUGGACGACGUGUUAUUGUUCAUGUAACAGCUAGCGGAUAAAACUUUGACAACAUUUUUUGGACAUAAAAGACUGACAGAUUUUUGGAGAGCAUACAUGACAGCAGAUUUUUGGAGGGCAUAUAUGUUAACAGCUGAUUUUUUGGAUAUGUUAGACACAGCUUUUGGAACAUAUUUUGUAAAUGAACCUACUUAAGCAUGUUUAUGACGUACAUGAAUAUUUGAGUCAGCUUCGAGUUAGGUACCAAUUAUACCAAUUAUAUUUGCAAAGGGUGGAUAUUUUCAUGUGCGAUGGAAAAGUUCAUUUCUAGAUUUUUGUAUCUAUGUAUCUGCAUAUUUGAACAAAGGCAGCUUUAGACGAAUGCAAUAUAGUGAUGAUGGAUGGAGAUCCCACAACUGAAGAAGUUUAAUUUAUA
Quercus robur (English oak) is the source of this 1152-nucleotide long non-coding RNA. RefSeq lists it as uncharacterized. Lineage: Eukaryota; Viridiplantae; Streptophyta; Magnoliopsida; Fagales; Fagaceae. The transcript is spliced from 4 exons. The record is from RefSeq and is a predicted model, not a curated record.